Molecule: unclassified non-coding RNA, 215 nt
Filed under: Hevea brasiliensis (rubber tree)
Lineage: Eukaryota; Viridiplantae; Streptophyta; Magnoliopsida; Malpighiales; Euphorbiaceae
Source: RNAcentral
GGAUGGCGCCUCUUCGUUCUUCAACUCAGUAAUUGCGCCAUCAUUGGACAACCCACCAACCUCAUUCUGGGCCUUUGCAACGGGGAAACGAUUCCGACUUUGCCUAGAUCCCUUGAUGAGUGGUUUCGCGGAAGGAGGAAUGAGAGCGAACGAGAGGCGCUCGUGAUGGAGGCGGCGGGCGGAGGCGGAGGCGGCCGACGGGGGCUUCACGGCGG